RNAcentral lists this small RNA (5644 nucleotides) under Rattus norvegicus (Norway rat). RNAcentral's name for it is "uncharacterized LOC108352150". The record is from RNAcentral. Lineage: Eukaryota; Metazoa; Chordata; Mammalia; Rodentia; Muridae.
ACAAACACACACACACACACACACAUCUCCCCUAACUCCCAGAGGUGCAUUUCCGGGGGACUCCCCCCUUUGUCUAUCCACCAGCCAUUUUUACAUCCCAGUGUUGCCUCCUUCCUGGUCCUCUCCUGGCCUCACUGCCCUGCCCCAUUUUGGAUCUGCCAGGGUGGUUUGGUGACACGGACUUCAAUGCUGCACUUGACUUCCCAGCUCCUGCAGGAGCAGAUGUGGGUGCCAGGCUUCCUCCUGCUCUCCAGUCCUGCCGUGGACACCACCCUCCAGCCACACUGCUCUAGGCACAGCCCUUGUCAGACACUAAGCUGUUCCCAAGCACAUCCUGUUUGUCUUGACCCCUGCUACCACAUUUUGCAGACUUUCGAAGGUCAUCAGGGAGGGUGUUACACCUUUUCAGAACCCUCCUGGGCUCUAUCCCUUCUCCCUUUUCGUAUAUCCAGCCCUCUGUGUAAUCAAGUUCUGCAUCAAUAGAGUCAGUCAACCGUCGGUCAAAAAUAUUCAGGGGAAAAGUGCAUUUGUACUGAACAUAUACCGUCUCUUACCACAAUUGCCUAAACAAUACAUAUGUAUUAUUACACAUAUAAUACAAAUGCAUUAAAUAAUGCAAAAAUAUAUAGUAUUAGGAAUUAAUUGCAUGCUGAGAGUCACACACGGAGAUGGCUUUGUGCAAGUGAUACGCAAAUGCAUAGCUGUUUUGCAUGAGGAACUUGAGCAUCGUCCUUGACUUUGGUAUCCCUGGUCGGUUGGGGUUUUGGGGGCGGGGAGAAUCCAUCUUUUAUGCACACCUUUAACCAUUGGAGACUCUUGCAUUACAUAUAGUUAAAUUAUGCUUCCACCCCUAAGCCAGAGGCCUUGGUCUGACAUAAUUUGUCUUUGAGUCUCUGUUUGAUGCAUGUUGAUGUGAAGCAGAGGCGGCCUGUGAAGCUGGGGCACCGGUUUUUCCUGAGCCCCGGCUUCUGCGCUCAUGUGCAAAAGAGAGAAGGAAAUGCUCACUCUCCACUCUUCUCCCUUUCUCCCCGCAGUAGCGGAAUAGCCCAGGAACCAGAAUACCAAACCUGGACAGAGAAAGUCACGGAGAGGACAUCAAUGUCUGUGACCAAGAGAUGACAAUGGAAGGAGUGGCUUGUCACUGGCCUUUCUUCUGAGCCCACUGAUCAAUGCUGGAAGACCAAGUAGAUUGUAACAUGAUAAAUACGAUGUUCUGGAGGUGAACCGAAGGAUUCAAUGUGAUCAGAUGAGUAGGUGUGCGUGCGUGCGUGUGCGUGCGUGUGUGUGUGUGUGUGUGUGUGCGCGCGCGCGCAUGCACACACGUGUUCAUGGGUGCACAUGUCUGCUCAAACAUGUUGAGGCUGGAGGUCAACCUUGGGUUUCAUUCCUUAAGAACAUCACUUUGCUUUUGAGAGGCAGUGUCUCUCACUGGGCAAUUAGGCCUGCUGAUUUGGUUAGGCUAAUGGGCCAGUGACACAUAGGCCUGUCUCCAUCUCCCCAGCUCUGGGAUCACAAGCGCAUGCCAUCAUGCCUGGCUUUUAACAUGCUCUGGACACGGAACCCAGGUCCCUAUGCUUCUACACUAAAUACUUAUUUGACCGAGCUAUGCCACCAACCUACAUUUUAACUGAUUUCAACGUCAAAGUGAGAUAACCACCAUUAAGCAGGCUGGAUAGAUCGCUCCAAGAACACAGAAACGCCAGGGAUCUCUCUGCAUCCUGUUUUCGACACGUCUCGCCCCCAGUCCCUGCGGUCUGGCUGUUUGUGGAGUGAUACAGGUCAACCCAAGAUGGCGGCAAACUGCAGGUGGAUCCCAAGACUAAAACCCUGCCGGUCCUUCUGUUCUGCCCCUUUUCAUGCUCCUUUUGCUUGGCUGGAACUCAAAAGCCAGACUCCUCAGGCAUGGCGAGAGGCCACCUUGUGACCGCAACGCUUUCAUUAUUCAUUAAGCCAUCUUCCCUCCUGCUUGAAAUCCGGGUUUAGCCACAUGGUCUACGCAUCUUCAGUUCUCUCGCAGCCCUCCCCGGGUCACGGACAGAAGGCAGCGCUUCAGACAUCAGCUGCAAAAAUGCAGUUUGCCAAGGUGCUGCAAAGCAGGUCAGCGGCCCGGGCGCUGUGGCCGGGAGCCAGCUCCGUGUCCACUGAAGCCUGAAUAUUUUACACCUAGUGACUCUGAGUUACAGGAUUUAAGAGUUUCAGACACCAGAUUAAACUUGAUUUGAAAGUGGCCCUGGAGGACAUUUGUUAAAGAAAAAUAAAGAUGCUAGAUGCUAGAUGGAGUCUAACGUCCUCUGCAUGGUGGCUCGGUCUACGUACAGUCUAAGGCUGUGUGCUUCUGGAAAUGUCCAGGUGCCAGCUCCUGCCUUCUCUACCUUACCUCAGAGAUGUUGGCAACCGGCCCCUCCCCUGACACCUUCUUUUUAGGUGUCUGUGUGUGGCGUGCGUGCAAGUUCUCAUAGGUGGGUACAUGUGUGUGCACAUGCACAUGGAAGCCAGAGGUCGAGACCAAGAGUCUUAAUCGCUCUGUCAUCUAGUUCAUCAAGGCAGGGUCUCUCAGUCAAACCCAGAGCUCACCAAUGAGACUAGCUGGCUAGCUCCAGGGAUUCCGUCUCAGCUGGUAGAGACUGAAAUUACAAACGGGCUGCAUGUCCACCUGGCAUUUGCUUGUGCAACAAGUACUUUUGCCCCUGAGCCAUGUCCCCAAGCAACGGCACUCCGAACUGCCAAGUUUGUACUGUCAAAAUGAUCUGCUGACUUGUACCAAUGGAUCCAAUAAAUCUGGGAGAUGAGUGUUAUUGUUCCAUUUCACAGAGGAGUCAACCGAGGCUCCAGAAUGAUUAAAAUGAACAGGCACAGAGAGCUGGGGGAGUCAGACUGCUUAUACUUGGCUCCAAAGUUCAUGCUGCGUUCUCGCAUGGCACCCAGCUUGUGGUCACUGAUGGCCCUUAGAGGGCCUCUUGGAGACCAAUUCAGUCCGGCUGAGGCUGUCCAUGGUAACUGGGUAACCUCUUGCCCAGACGCCAUUCUUCACUGUCCUGUUUUGAGCAGUCGGGAUAGCAGGAUCUCCUUGAGGUGGUGGGUUCCCUGCACACAGCUCCAAUGGGACUCCUGAGUCCGCAGACUGAGGAGCAAGCCCUGGUUACUUGUAACCCCACCACUCCAAUGCUUUUGUCUCUGAGGGGCGGGGGGUGGGGUGGGCUGACUUCUCAUGCACGGGAUGAACAGUGGGCUCUGGUUAGCCCAGCACGGCGGGCUCAGGCAAAUGAAUAGCCGCAGGUGGGGGGUGCUGCCUUUCACCCCCAUACGUAGGAUCUCGACUUUGGGAAGGUGCGGCCCACGGUGGCAGCCGCAGCAGCAGAGGCAGGGCUGGCACAGCUGAAGAGGAGGAGCUGGAAGCUGGGUCUUGCCUGCCCAGCCUCUUAGAGGCCAGGCCUCCAGCUGGGCCCUAAUUCGCAAGGCUGCUGCCAGCACUCAUUCAUAAAUGAUGAAAAAGCUCUCAGCAAAUGCCGAGCCAUGCAUCAGGCCCCAAGGCCCCUGCUGGGGACCUGAGCACUGAGCAGACUGAGUCCCCAAGCGGCACUCCCGGACUGAUCCAUCUGGUGCAUUCAUCCACCCAGCAGACAUUCGCUUAGGCCACGGACUUGGAUGCUCUGGAAUCGUGAGUGGAGGCCGCUGUCCCUGACCUCUAGGAACCAUAAGCAGAAAUCCGGUGAUAUGGCACGGUACCCAAGUCUAGGCUCUGACUCGGAACUCGGAGAGCAGAGAGAAGAAGUGUCACCAUAGCUAGGGAUGGAGGUCACCUGUAAGUUACAUUCUGAUGCAUGCUUGGAAUGGGUGGGCAAUUGCUCCCCUGAAAGAGUUCAUUCCAGCAGGCAAGAUGGCAGUAUGGCUGAAAAGUAGACAAGGAUUUCAAACCACAAUUCUACUUUGAAAUGGGAAAGCAAGCUCAGCCUUUGGGCCUGUUACUUCCUUUAGAUCUUUUGCUUCCAUGUCCUGCGUACUUGGAUAUCAUGCCGGGAGAUUUACAUAGCCUCUGGCCAUCAUCUGCUAGAGACCUUGGACAUAGUGCCCUGAGACGAACAUGGUCUCUUGCCAUCAGCUAGAGUUGACUUAGUUGAUUACUAGCAAGAACACUAGGUGUAUAAUUGGCAGUUGACAGUUUGUAUCCUGGGCUCAUUGUUGGGGAAUGAGUGGGGGGAAUUAUUUCUUCUCUGGAUGGGUUUUCACCAGGAAGGGGAAGCCUCUCCAGGCUGGGAUCCUUACCCAUGUGAUCAGGGGACACUGAGAGUCCAACAGCAGCUUCUCCUGAGGGUCUGAACCAAUAUAAUAGACAAACACAGAAUCACACAGAAGCAAAGCUGGUAUCCUACGCCCCUGGAUUCAGCAGCAGGAAGCGGCCAGGAGAGAGGGUCACCUCCUCUGGGCUCUGGAUUCUGAGAAGAGGAAUGCCAUUCCAUCACAUGGGAACAAGUGCUUCUAGACUGGGAAUCUCAACUCAUCUUCUCUUUCUCCAAGCAAAGCUACCGUGGUUCCCAACAUUGGGAGAAGCAGAGGGAUGUUGAAAAUUAUAUGAUUUUUUUUUUAGGUGAAUCCCACCCAAAACCAGACUGAAAUCUCACAGGCUUUCAGGUCCCGGGACCUGGUGUCUUUUGGGUCGAGCCGAUGUUUGGUUCCAGGAAACAUCGAAGAAGAAAAAAAGAAGUGACGUCACUGCUGGAGGGCUGGCCAUUCUGAUCCGACUCGAGAAUAACUUUUCCGGGUCAAGAGCUCGAACGAGAGCUGGGGAGCGCUGGGCUCUCACAGCACUGCACCUGCUGCUGUGUUCACCUUUGUCCUAAUGGAGACCCCUGCGAACGGGAAGCAGCGUGGUGGCCCGGCCAUCAGGAUGGGCAAGGAGCUUAGACAUCUGCAGUAAGUGGCAUUUAAAGGGUCAAGUGACUGUGACUCGAAGAGAAAGAGGUCAUGUUGUCACCAGCAUGACAGGACACCUGGGAAGCUGCCUUUCCUGCCAGGCACCCGCUAUGCAGAUUUUCCCAAACUUUACACAAAUGGAAUUAGUGCUGGGAAAUUAUUUUUGGAGAGAGUACCCUUUGUCUAAACGAGUUUGAAGAUCUGUGGAACAAUGAAGCAGUUUAAACUUGUCACAGGGGAAGAAUGCCAGGGGCUAGGGGCACGCAACAGACCAAAGCUGCUUCUGUCUAACUGGCACUAGAUUUCCGUUUUUAUGAAACGUGGUCAGCCUGGCUGCCCUCUUGGGAGUCUCUCAGGAUCCCAGGGCCCUCUCUGGGGUACUCAGCUUUACCUACGUGAUAGAAGUUCCUAAGAGCCCACACCCACAUUCCGUUUCCCCCUCAAUUACUUUGUGGCACUUUUUACUGGAGGAGAUAGCUCUCUAGGAUGAAAACCCAGUCCGUAAACUGCAACGUAUGGGAAACAAAAGAUCCAGCUACAGGCAGCUCUUGAAAGCUUUGAUCCAGGAAUCAAUUUGGUUACAAGUCAGGGGUGGCCAGUCCUUAAACCCUGGCCAGAAGCCAUGGGCGUGGUGCCCAGAUACAUUUAAGAAUAAAGAGUUGAAACACGGGACUGGAGAGGUGGCUCAGUGGUUAAGAGCACUGACUGCCCUUCCAGAGGUCCGGAGUUCAAA